AAUCAACGCUGGCGGCGUGCCUCAGACAUGCAAGUCGAACGAUUAAAGCUCCCUUCGGGGAGUGCAUAGAGUGGCGCACGGGUGAGUAACACGUAAGUAAUCUACCUUUGAGUGGGGAAUAACGUUCGGAACGGACGCUAAUACCGCAUAAUGCAGCGGCAUCGCAAGAUGACAGUUGUUAAAGGAGCAAUCCGCUUAAAGAGGAGCUUGCGGCAGAUUAGCUUGUUGGUAAGGUAACGGCUUACCAAGGCUACGAUCUGUAUCCGGUCUAAGAGGACGGUCGGACACACUGACACUGAAUAACGGGUCAGACUCCUACGGGAGGCAGCAGUCGGGAAUUUUGGGCAAUGGGCGAAA
RNAcentral lists this ribosomal RNA (357 nucleotides) under uncultured bacterium. RNAcentral's name for it is "bacterial SSU rRNA". It matches the Rfam family "Bacterial small subunit ribosomal RNA", at positions 32 to 380 of the family's 1533-position model. The record is from RNAcentral.